Molecule: long non-coding RNA, 959 nt
Filed under: Homo sapiens (human)
Lineage: Eukaryota; Metazoa; Chordata; Mammalia; Primates; Hominidae
Description: HSALNT0007969
Source: RNAcentral
UCCAGAGCCACAGAUGUCUCCUUCUCUCAUAUACGCAAGUUAAAAUCCCUAGGUGAGUCCAGGCGAUUAAAUUUUGGGCUAUUACUUUUUAAAUUAUUUAAUAAAUUUCCUUGGGGUAAAAAUACAUGCAAGGUUCUAAGUCUGCUCACUGUAUUAACUGCAAUCUGUCCACAUUUCAUAUGUGGGUCCUGGGUGUUUUAUCUAUUAACAUAUUACCUAUCCCUUAUAGAGAUAUAAUGACUAUAAAAUGCUUUAAAAUUUCAUUUUGUGUGAUGGGGCAGGUAUAGUGGUGAAUAUUACAGCGGAGUGUAAUUUCCUCAGUACUAUUCUGGGAUAGAUAUUAGGGCUGUUCAUAAAUCCUCUAGCUUCAACUUUUCUUCCUCUUUAAAGGUGAACCAGUGCUUGAUUAGCUACGUUUCCUGUUUCUGCAUUGGUGAUCAUGGAAACAAAUGCUGAGAAGGAGCCUCUGCUGCCUGGGUACGUGAAUGACCACGGUGAACAGAGGGCUCAGUAAGGAACCCUGACGGACUGGUUUCAACUACUGUAGUGGGGGAAGACAAUCUGAUAUGAGAAAAAUGGAGACUUAAGGAAGAAAGAAGUUUUCCCCAUGAUGGCAUGAAGAAAAGCCACACAGUCCUCUGGCGGGAACCAUUAGAGGAAGGGACUAACAUUGUUCUCCCCUGAGUCUCUUCUUUGAGGCAGGGAGAAGACCCUGGAACAUCUGCAGGUGCAGAGAAAUGCCACCACUGGAUCAAGUGUUUGUCCUGUGAUAUGGAGACCACUCAAACAGCUUUACAAUUGUGUGCUAGUCAAGUGUAGAAUCAAAACCCUUUCUGUAGUUUCUGUUUGAGAAAAUAAAAAAGUUCUGGAGAUGGAUGGUUGUACAAUGUGAAUGUAUUUAACACUGAACAAUACAAUUAAAGACGGUAAAAUAGUAAAUGUUGUUAUGUAUAUUUUAC